Long non-coding RNA from Limulus polyphemus (Atlantic horseshoe crab), 999 nucleotides. RefSeq lists it as uncharacterized. The record is from RefSeq and is a predicted model, not a curated record. The transcript is spliced from 2 exons. NCBI's taxonomy places the organism in Eukaryota, Metazoa, Arthropoda, Merostomata, Xiphosura, Limulidae.
AUUAGUGUCUCUACUUCAACAGUUCUAUAGGGCUGUGGUACAUGCUGUUGCUCAUAAUGCCUAUACGUGUGUUGUUCAGUUUGUUGACUACGGCAACUACGAAGAAGUAACAUUAAGUGAUGUACAACAAGUUAGCCUUUCAGAAUGGAAUUACUACCAGCCUAGUGUAGGUCAAACACCCCCUGGUGCUAGUACUGGCUCAUACAUGUCAAACUGUCCACCUGCCUUCUCUGGUGAUGGAAUGGUUCAGUUCAACUUUAUGGGUACUAUUGAGUUUAGAAGAGGUGGGUCCAAACCCGUGGUGAAGCAGACUCCCCAUGGAAAUGGCAAUCAUCAAGGCAGGCCCGUUGACAGGAGCAGACAACAGAGUCGCCCAGCUAUGCAGCUUUAUCAGUCUGCUCAAAGACAAGCUCCAGGGCCUCUCUGAGAUUCCCAGUAGGGUCCUGGCCAGUGUUGUUGAUUCUUCAGGUUAGAAAAACUGUUCUGAACAUCUAUUAAUGAUAAGAAGGAGGUAGGAGAGUGAACUCUGGUGGUGUUUAUGAUUAUAUGGACUACAAGGAAACUUUUAAUUACAUAGAUAGAUAUGUUGUUUGUUACAGGAGGUUCAGUUUAUUAAAUGUACUGCAUCACAGUUAAUACUGUGUUAACCAGUUUUGACAGAAUUUGCUUUUAAAACAUUUGUAGCUUCUUGUAGAUAGGUUUAAUAUUUGAUGAUGCAGUUUAUUACAGUUUGUAUUAUUCUAAUAAGUUGUAACUGAUAGAUAUUAAGUAUUAACACUGAAUAAAAGAAUGAUGUAACUAAUUACAUCUUGCAGGUUUAAUGAAAUUAAUCGUGUUUCAAUAACUUAUUAGACGUGGUGGAAGAUGUCCUGUUCAGGGUGUCUUUUUUUUUUUUGUUAAACCUGUUUAAGUUAAUUCUUUUUUUAUCUUGUAUUAGCGCAUUUUGGUUAAUUGAUAACUUUGCAUAAAAAAAAAAUGAAUAUUUCAAUUUCCAUAGGA